Molecule: ribosomal RNA, 253 nt
Filed under: uncultured bacterium
Lineage: Bacteria
Description: partial 16S ribosomal RNA
Rfam family: Bacterial small subunit ribosomal RNA
Source: RNAcentral
UACAGAGGGUGCGAGCGUUAAUCGGAAUUACUGGGCGUAAAGCGCACGUAGGCGGCUUGGUAUGUCGGGUGUGAAAUCCCCGGGCUCAACCUGGGAACUGCAUCCGAAACUGCCUUGCUAGAGUAUGGGAGAGGGAAGUGGAAUUUCCGGUGUAGCGGUGAAAUGCGCAGAUAUCAGGAGGAACACCGGUGGCGAAGGCGGGUCUCUGGGCCGAAAUUGACGCUGAGGAGCGAAAGCGUGGGGAGCAAACAGG